GGCGAAGGGUCAGGGCUGCGUGGCGGGCGCGACCAGGCGGGCGGUGUGGGACGGAACGGGGGCCGCCCCCAAGGGCAAGAGCCGGGCUCCAGGGGUUGCCCUGGGGGCGCGGGCCCGGUGGUGAAGACGGAAGGACGUCGGGGUCAGCAACGCCAGCAUCACCCAGGCGGCCGGCGCGGGAACCUUCAUCCUCGCCGCUGGGUGCGAGUUCGGGCCUGGGAUGCGCCCCUGCGGGGCCCUGAGGCGAUCCGGCCGUGCCCGCGUCGGGGCGCCGUUCUGACAGACCCUGAAGGGACGCGCGGUUUUGGGGGAGAAAUCCGCCGCUGGGAAACGGGGGACCCGCCGCCGCCUCCGCCUCGCUCCUACUUUUACACGAAGCUGUCGCGCUUCCCGUUUCCGAAACGCAAGGAAGAGUGGGCCUCGGCGAGCCCGACGCUCGGCCGGAACCGGAAACUCGGCAGGGACCGGAAGCUCGGCCGGAAGCGUGCGGCUGGCGACUGGUCUCCUCAGCGAGCAGCCGGCGGCCUUGGCUCGGCUCGUCGUCCGCCGGAGGCCCAAGCGCGGUGCAGGCGAGCCCCUUAAGUCCUCCUGCUCUGGGAAAGCUGAGGGUCGAGGACAUGGGCUCUUUUAUUUUAUUUAUUUAUUUAUGUUUUUUAAAUUUAAGAUUUUAUGUGUUGAUUUCCUGAGAGACGCAGAGAGAGGCCGAGACGCAGGCCCUACGCCGGGAGCCCGCCGCGGGCCUCGAUGCCGGGACCCGGGGUCACGCGCUGGGCUGCAGGCAACGCUCUGCCAUGGAGCCCCCGGGGGCGCGGUAGAAACAAGCUUCUGUCCGUGUGGGUCAAUGUGGAUGAGCCACCCAGGGAGGAGGGAUGCGGGGUUUGCGGGGAGAACCCGUCUCGGGGUCGGGUGCAGAGGCUUAGGUCGGCGGAUGGCGAGAGGGGAGCCGGGGCGGCGGGGUUGCGGGCAGCCGCAGGGCCGCACAGGACAGGUGAGGGGCCUUCAGGGCCGCGGCAGACACGCCGACGGACACCGCGAUGGACACCACCAUGGACACGGCGACGGACACCACGAAGGCCAUGGCGGCCACGGCGGGCGCGGGUCAGCCGGGCUUCCCACUGUGGGGCCGGGCCGGCAGGUGCUGCUGCUGAUGGCGUCGGGAGGAAGGCCUCGUAGUGGGAAGGACGAAUUGUAG
RNAcentral lists this long non-coding RNA (1192 nucleotides) under Canis lupus familiaris (dog). RNAcentral describes it as "lncRNA (ENSCAFG00845025021.1)". Lineage: Eukaryota; Metazoa; Chordata; Mammalia; Carnivora; Canidae. The record is from RNAcentral.